Molecule: ribosomal RNA, 230 nt
Filed under: uncultured microorganism
Description: partial 16S ribosomal RNA
Rfam family: Bacterial small subunit ribosomal RNA
Source: RNAcentral
UACGGAGGAUGCAAGCGUUAUCCGGAUUCAUUGGGUUUAAAGGGUGCGCAGGCGGAUUAUUAAGUCAGUGGUGAAAUCCUACAGCUCAACUGUAGAACUGCCAUUGAUACUGAUAAUCUUGAGUGUAUUUGAAGUGGGCGGAAUGUAGCAUGUAGCGGUGAAAUGCAUAGAUAUGCUACAGAACACCAAUUGCGAAGGCAGCUCACUAAACUACAACUGACGCUCAUGCA